Molecule: unclassified non-coding RNA, 395 nt
Filed under: fungal sp.
Lineage: Eukaryota; Fungi
Description: partial internal transcribed spacer region
Rfam family: Eukaryotic small subunit ribosomal RNA (bases 1-46)
Source: RNAcentral
AAGUCGUAACAAGGUUUCCGUAGGUGAACCUGCGGAAGGAUCAUUAACACGUAUCCACGUUCUAUAAACUAAUCCGCUGCAUUGAACUCCCUCUCUAUUCUAAGUCAAGGCUGUUGUUCAUGGUAUUUUGGUGGGUCCGUACUCUUUCGGGAGAUGGGGCAUAUACUGUGAGACUAUCACUCCCAUUCGUGGAGAGUGUGGCUGAGGAAUUGAAUAGAAGGCUUUCCUCAUUCCUGUGGCCAACCACUCUUGGUCCAUGGAUUUGAUACCCAUACCCUAUUUCACCCUAUUUUACCCUAUUUGACUAAUUUACAUUCAUUCAGAGAAAUCUGUUUUGAAUUCUAAGAUAUUAUCUUAACUAAGCACAACUCUUAGCAAUGGAUAUCUUGGUUCUC